This is a non-coding RNA of Drosophila kikkawai, 6045 nucleotides long. The record is from RefSeq and is a predicted model, not a curated record. Lineage: Eukaryota; Metazoa; Arthropoda; Insecta; Diptera; Drosophilidae.
UAGGCUGAAAAAAAAGGAAAAUUAAAUUAAAUUAAUAAAGUUUGAAAAAAAAAGAUAAAUAUAUUUACAACGGAUUAGGAACUGAAGGAAAGGAGAGAAAAGUUAGUGGGUAGUAAAAAUAGCGACGUCUCAUCCCCCCCCAUAGUAGAAAAUUGUGAAGGAAGCUGAAAUAAUAAAAUAUAAAUAGAAAAGAAGUUAGGGUAUGCAAAAGAGUGAAAGGGAGAGAAUACAAAUCGGAAGAAAACUGAGGAGAAGUUUGGAGUUCAUCCGGAAUAGGGUACCAGCAAGUAUGACCCCGGCAAAAACGCGAUCACAAAGCAACCAAGAGGAGAAAUUGGAGAACGUAUCGGCACCCGAAGGUAUGGAAUCGAUAAGGGAUCAGACUCAGGAAGGAAUGGGAAGUGGAAGUCCUGGAGAAGCAAGCGGUCACCAAUCGGUAGGCGGAACCGGGGCCAUACCGAAGGCUCUCCCCUCGGAGAUAACGUCAGGAGUCAAUGCAGCAUUGUUUCAGGCACAUCAGACGUACCAGGUGGGAAUGUCAUCAGAGUACGAUGCGUUCAAACGGCAGAUGCAGCAGGAUAUGAUGCAGUUCAUGAAGGACAUCAACGACUGCAUGGCGGAGUUUCGCCGAGAUGUCUUGAAACAGAACGCAGCGGUGCAGGCAUCUACGCAGGUUCGGCAGGCUCAACUGCAACAAGUCACACAGGGACAAUGUCAAGUUUCGGGUACGCAGAUGCAGCCACUGUUAGGGGUAGCAACACAGACGCUGUUAAAUCCAUUGCCACCUUUCGACCCGAGGAUGCUACAGCAACCUCCACCAAACAUGGUGCCGGGGUUACGACACCAAAUGGGAUUCCCGCCGCCAAACUCUGGGGCGUUAUCCGAAAAGCAGGAGGUGAAUCGGCACGCUUCAGAAGGGUUUCGGCAAACCGCCUGGUCGACGGAGCAUGAGCAAAGAAGAGGGAAUGGGUCUCACCCGACACCGCCAGAAUAUCCUAGUGGAAACGGGGGGACACAGCAAAACGCCAAUCCAGGACAGGAUCCGCGACGAACAAGCGGGGCAACAGGUGAUUCCGUGUUUCAUGUAGGUCAGCUGCGUAAGUGGGGGCUUAGUUUCGACGGAAGUCCAAGGAGUAUGCCAGUGUCUGAAUUUAUUUUCCGCCUCGAGCAUCUCCAGCGAUCGUAUCAGGUGCCGUGGAAGGAAGUCCUAAGGGAAUUUCACGUAUUAGUGGAAGGACAAGCCAAGGAAUGGUACUGGAUGUACGUGAGAUCGACGGAGAAGCAAGAGUGGCCUUACCUGAGAUAUGCACUACAGCAGCAGUUCCAGAGUCACCGAUCCAAUUUCGAGCGAGAGUACGAGCUAAGAGAACGGAAGCAGAAGCCAGGAGAAACCAUAGAAGUAUACAUCCAGACCAUGCUCGCUCUCCGAUCGCGACUAGAGAUGCCGUUUUCCGAUUUUGAUCUAAUAAAGGUGAUAAAGAUGAACAUUAGGGAUCAAAUUUCGAAAAUCAUAUACCCGAUUUAUAUUACCAACCUGGAUCAACUCCGACACGAAUGCCACGACGCGGAAAGAAUCCUGGCAACUCGAUGGACCAGACAGCCAAGCAACUUCGAAGCUCACCGGGGAUAUAAGGAUCGUCCGAGGGUAGAUGAGCUUUGUCCAGAACCAAUCGGAGACGAAAGUGAACCUGUGGAUCAGGAGGAAGUGGAAGCCUUAACGAGACACUGGGAGAACCUCAGAGAACGACCGCCACUUACCUGCUGGAAUUGUGGAACCGUUGGACAUGCAUUCAAUGCGUGUGAAUCGGAGGUGUUGAAGGUUUUCUGCUUCAAGUGUGGACUCCCAGGAGUGAGGACUCCCAGAUGCACGCGAUGCCAAACGGGAAACGGUGGGAGGAGAGUGGUCAAGAACGAGGAACCACGCUCCAAUCCGUUUGCAAUGAACAAAUGAAAUCCUCGUCAAAUUGCAUGCCUAAGGAUAAGAAUAGCUGUAAGGAAAAUAAAAUUAGUAGGAUUCUAUUAAAUAUAAAUAAACCAAGCCAUAGCAUGAAAUGGUCGGAACGUGAGCCUAUAGCAGUACGAGAAGCAAAUUACCAAGAGGUCCGAAAACGUAUAUGGGGAACACACAGCUCAGAACAGCACAUUUCUCCGAAAGUCGCAAGAGCCCGCAGAAGAGGUCAGCAGCGGAAAGCGGAAAGAAGGAUGGUGUGUUCGGCCAUCAGAGCUGCGGUGGAAGGCGAUAAUAGACCAUUCGCCCAGGUCAGGAUAGAAGACCUGGAGAUCGUGGGGCUUUUGGAUUCCGGGGCAUCAGUCAGCUUGCUCGGGGAAGGUUGCCUAGAAAUAGUGGAAAGGAUAGGACUGAGAUUAGAGAAAGCGCGAUCGAUAAUGAAAUCAGCAGGAGGUACGCAGCAUCGGGUAGUGGGAAAAAUUCAACCCAACAUCUCGUACAAUGGGAUAACACAUCGAUUGCCGAUACUCCUUUGUCCUUCCUUGAAGCAAAAAUUGUAUCUUGGGAUAGAUUUCUGGAGGAAAUUCCAACUGGCACCAGAGGUAGUGGGUGUAGAAUCCUUACACCAGGUGGAAGCCGAAGUCAUGGCCAAAGGAGAACCGAUAGAGGCACAUGUUCUAACCCCGAAACAAGCUGAACAGCUGGAAGAAGCAAAAGGACAGUUUCUGACAUACGAAAGUCAAGGAUUAGGACUCACCAAAGUGGAAGAGCACUCGAUCCAGUUAGUUGAAGGAGCCGUACCCAUCAAGGAGAGAGUCUUUCCAGUUUCUCCGGCAAAACAGCAACUACUGUUCACGGAAAUCGAUGAGAUGCUGCGACUAGGAGUCAUCGAGUUAAGUGAAAGUCCCUGGAAUAACCGAACGACACUGGUACAGAAACCUGGGAAGAAUAGACUGUGUUUAGACGCGAGAAAAUUAAAUACACUUACAGUGAAGGAUGCUUACCCAUUGCAGAACAUUGAGUCGAUCUUGAGCCGAGUAGAUGAGACGAUUUUCAUCAGCAGCAUCGACCUGAAGCACGCCUUCUGGCAAGUCGAACUCGAUGAAAAAAGUCGUCCCUUAACUGCUUUCACCAUACCCGGAAGGCCACUGUAUCAGUUUCGACGGAUGCCAUUCGGCCUGUGUAAUUCGGCUCAAAGGUUGUGCAGAGUAAUGGAUAAGGUAAUCCCACAGCGUCUCCGCAGCCACGUCUUCGUUUACUUGGAUGACUUGCUGAUGAUAUCCAAAACAUUCGAUGAACACUGCAUUUUGCUAAAAGAAGUGGCCGAGUGUUUGAGUAAAGCAAAUUUGACGAUUGGCCUACACAAAUCAAAAUUUUGCUUCAAAUACUUGCGAUAUUUAGGAUACAUCAUCGGUGACGGGGCCUUGCGAACAGACCCGAAGAAAGUUGAAGCGAUUUUGAAAAUCGAAGUGCCCAAAAAUGCGCGACAGCUACGCAGCUUCUUAGGAACCGCAGGAUGGUAUCGCAGGUUUAUCCAGAAUUUCUCCGGACUCAGUGCGCCGCUCACCGACUGCCUGAAAAAUAAAACCAAAUUUACUUGGACGGAGGAAGCGACUAUGUCAUUUGAAAAGCUAAAGAGAGCACUGACCUGUGCGCCCGUAUUGGCUCAUCCAGACUUCGGGAAACACUUCUGGAUCCAGUGUGACGCCAGCCACGUAGGAAUUGGGGCAGUGUUGUUCCAACAGGAUAGAGAGGGAUCGGACCGACCAAUAGCUUUCUAUUCGGCGAAGCUAAGAGGAGCACAACUUAAUUACAGCGUGACAGAAAAAGAGUGCCUCGCAGCCGUAAAAGCAGUGGAAAGAUUCCGGCCGUAUGUGGAAUUGAUGCCGUUUACUAUCGUGACCGAUCAUGCAAGCCUUCAAUGGCUCAUGACACUCAAAGAUUUGAACGGAAGACUGGCGCGGUGGUCAUUAGCAUUGCAGGCAUUUGAUUUUAACAUCGAGCACCGGAAAGGGAAAGACAACAUCGUGGCGGACAUGUUAUCUCGACCGAACGAGGCCGCCGAAUUGGAGUUCUUCGAUUUUGAGACAACGGAGUUUGAGAGUCCUGAAUAUCUGGAAAGAAUUCAAUUAAUUGAAGAACAGGGAAAAGAUAAGUUUCCGGACUUACGUGUGGAAGAAGGACUUCUCUUCAAAAAGACCAAUUUUUACAGAGAAGAAAGCGACGAGUUUGAAUGGAAACUAUGGAUUCCGGAAGCUCUGACGACAACUCUAAUCCAGCAGGCUCACUACGGCGAUAUGGCAAUGCACGGAGGAAUGGGAAAGACUUUAGCGAGACUCCAACAGAUGUAUUAUUGGCCCAAAAUGGUAGUUCAAGUCCGAGAAUUCGUGGCAGCCUGUGAAAACUGCAAGGAGAACAAACACACAACGCAGAUAAAACGGCCAAUAAUGGGAAAGGAAGUGCAGACGGAUCGACCCAUGCAAAAGUUGUACCUGGAUUUCCUAGGAAAAUAUCCGCGAUCCCGCCGAGGAAAUACAAUGCUGUUCAUCGCACUAGACCAUUUAACCAAGUUUGUGUGGCUGAAAGAGAUGCCGAAAGCCACAUCAACAGCGGUGAUUCGAUUCCUGCAGGAAAAUAUAUUCACCCAAUUCGGAGUUCCAGAAACAAUACACACGGACAACGGUAGACAGUUUAUCUCCAAGGAAUUUGAGAAUAUGCUGCAAGAAUACGGAAUUACGCACUUGAAAACGGGGAGAUACGCACCACAAUCCAACGCUUCGGAGAGAGUGAAUCAAUCCGUGUUAGCAGCAAUUCGAGUGAACGUUCAGGACGACCACACACGAUGGGAUGAACACCUGGCCGAUAUACAAGCGUCACUGAGGUCAUCUGUACAUAACAGCACCGGAACGUCUCCAUACUUUGCCAUGUUUGGACAGCAUAUGUUCACACAUGGGAAAGAUUACUCGCUUGCUCGCAAACUGAAGGCUCUCAAUGAAGCGGAGAUAACCCAAUUGCCCAGAUCUGAACGACUACAGCUGUAUCGGGAGAAAAUAAAGGAAAGAAUACAUCAGGCCUACGAGAAAGCUGCCAAGACCUACAAUUUAAAAGCACGAGAAAUUCGAUACUCACCGGGACAAGAGAUUUACAAGAGGAACUUUAUACUGAGUGACUUUAGCAAGAAUCGAAACUCCAAGUUUUGCCGAAAGUACACUAAAUGCCGAGUAACUAAAGCGUUGGGAAAUUCGUUGUACGCUUUGGAAAACUUGGACGGCAAUCCUCUGGGAGUUUUCCACGCAAAGGACCUUAAGCAAUAGUGCCCGGCUAGCAAAUCACUCAUCUGGCAUGAAUCUCAGGGAUGUGGGCGAUGGCCUACGUUGGGCAGUACAACGCAUCACGGACGCACAUCCUCCACUCCUGUUCCGAGACAAGCGUCGGAACCGUAGUGUGCUUGUUAUGUGCGAACUCUAAAAAAAGGAGAAAUAUAAAAAAUUGUUUACCAAAAGCCAGAUGAUCGGUAUGUCCGAUAACCGGUCAUCGACGACUCGUGAGUCCAGGGAGUCGGGUAACUGAGUCCAAUACGGAACUGGUUCCUUAAACCGGAUGACUCCAAAUCGGAACCAAAGUUUGAACCCGAGAAAUUUUGAGUGGUUUUUGGGAUUAAGAGAGGCUUAGGAAAAAGGCAAAGGUGAAGUAAAGGGCGAAGAUCCGUGGCAGCAGGCGGUUCGAUUAGCAGCAAAAUUACGCAAUUGAAAAAAAAAAAAGAAAAACGAGUUUCUACCACAUAUUCCGGAGUGAAUAAUCCUGGACCAGGAACGAUAUUUGGGAAAAAAAAACAGGAAGAUCAGCCACCAGGAAGAAGACGACUUUUCGAGGAGAAAAAUUGGCCACUCCUUCCUGGGUGGCCACAGGUUUUUAUCCCUAAAUAUAAUUAUCAAAAAAACACAUACAACCGCCAGCAAAAAAACAAAGGAAAUGUAGCUCACAGAAAAAUAUAAAGUAAUUUAAGUCAUAUUUAUUCAACAUAUCUGUUAAUUCAUCUAAAACAUUAAUCGUCACAUGGUUGUUAAUUCGUAUUUAUUAAAUUAUUUAUUUAUGUA